RNAcentral lists this ribosomal RNA (497 nucleotides) under uncultured bacterium. RNAcentral's name for it is "partial 16S ribosomal RNA". It matches the Rfam family "Bacterial small subunit ribosomal RNA", at positions 28 to 507 of the family's 1533-position model. The record is from RNAcentral.
GAUGAACGCUGGCGGCGUGCCUAAUACAUGCAAGUCGAGCGAACGGACGAGAAGCUUGCUUCUCUGAUGUUAGCGGCGGACGGGUGAGUAACACGUGGAUAACCUACCUAUAAGACUGGGAUAACUUCGGGAAACCGUAGCUAAUACCGGAUAAUAUUUUGAACCGCAUGGUUCAAAAGUGAAAGACGGUCUUGCUGUCACUUAUAGAUGGAUCCGCGCUGCAUUAGCUAGUUGGUAAGGUAACGGCUUACCAAGGCAACGAUCCAUAGCCGACCUGAGAGGGUGAUCGGCCACACUGGAACUGAGACACGGUCCAGACUCCUACGGGAGGCAGCAGUAGGGAAUCUUCCGCAAUGGGCGAAAGCCUGACGGAGCAACGCCGCGUGAGUGAUGAAGGUCUUCGGAUCGUAAAACUCUGUUAUUAGGGAAGAACAUAUGUGUAAGUAACUGUGCACAUCUUGACGGUACCUAAUCAGAAAGCCACGGCUAACUACGUG